GCCUUUGGUGUGUGAUGGCCUUCUCCUCCCUUGUGCUGUUUCACGAGAUUGAAAAUGGAGUUGCUGAGAUCAGUUUUAACAGUAAGAAAGCAGCAAGUUCUCUAGGGUUUGACAGUCUGGAAGCACUGGACGGGUCCUAUUUCUGUAUUGUGGCAUCAGUGGUGGAGUCUCUGGGGAAGGGAAUCGUUUUCCUGGGACGCAGAGUGCUGUCUCCAGCUCUGGGGCCUCCAACAUGAGAAGGACAUGAACCUGCUGCAAUGACUCCAGAGGAGACAUAAGGGCUACAGAACCUCUCCUGGAAAGGCAAGCUGGGAGGGCUGGGGUUUUUCAGCCUGGAAAAAAGGCUUUGGCAACACUUAGAGCAUCCUUCCUGUGCUGAAAGGGGGUUAUAAGAAGGCUGGACAAAAAAUAUAUACAAGACCUUGGAAUGAUAGGACAGAGGGGAAUGGCCUUCAAUGGCAAGAGGGCAGGUUUCUAUUACAGAACAGGUACAAAUGCUGUACUGUGAGGGUGGCAAGGCAGUGAGAGGGGUUUUUCAGAGAAGUUGUGGAUGCCCUAUCCCUGGCAGUGUUCAGUGUCAGGUUAGAUGAGGCUUUGAGCAACCUGGUCUAGCGGCAGGUGCCGCGACCACAAAAGGGAGGGGCUUGAUGACCCUCGAGGUGCAUGAGUGGAGUGCAUUCAAUGGCAUGUUCUCUAGCCCAGGUGUUUAUAAGGCUGUUCUUGAAGUGGGUCCCAUUGUCUGACUCGAUUCUCUCCGGGGUGCCAUGUCUCCAGAGGAUUUGCUUUUCAAGGCCCACCAUGGUGUUCCAGGCAGUAGCGUGAGGCACGGGGUAGGUCUCCAACCAUCCAGUGGUUGCUUCCACCAUGGUCAGCACAUAGCGCUGGCCUUGGCGGGUUUGGGGAAGGGUGAUGUAGUCAAUCUGCCAGGCUUCCCCGUACUUAUACUUGGACCUUCG
Long non-coding RNA from Hirundo rustica (Barn swallow), 956 nucleotides. RefSeq lists it as uncharacterized. Lineage: Eukaryota; Metazoa; Chordata; Aves; Passeriformes; Hirundinidae. The record is from RefSeq and is a predicted model, not a curated record. The transcript has 3 exons.